This 253-nucleotide ribosomal RNA is filed under the name uncultured bacterium. RNAcentral's name for it is "partial 16S ribosomal RNA". It matches the Rfam family "Bacterial small subunit ribosomal RNA", at positions 524 to 776 of the family's 1533-position model. The record is from RNAcentral.
UACGUAGGGCGCAAGCGUUAUCCGGAAUUAUUGGGCGUAAAGAGCUCGUAGGCGGUUUGUCGCGUCUGCUGUGAAAACCCGAGGUUCAACCUCGGGCCUGCAGUGGGUACGGGCAGACUAGAGUGCGGUAGGGGAGAUUGGAAUUCCUGGUGUAGCGGUGGAAUGCGCAGAUAUCAGGAGGAACACCAAUGGCGAAGGCAGAUCUCUGGGCCGUAACUGACGCUGAGGAGCGAAAGCAUGGGGAGCGAACAGG